Molecule: microRNA, 21 nt
Filed under: Glycine max (soybean)
Lineage: Eukaryota; Viridiplantae; Streptophyta; Magnoliopsida; Fabales; Fabaceae
Description: gma-miR10440
Source: miRBase by way of RNAcentral
UUGGGACAAUACUUUAGAUAU